RNAcentral lists this long non-coding RNA (735 nucleotides) under Equus caballus (horse). RNAcentral's name for it is "lncRNA (ENSECAG00000056662.1)". Lineage: Eukaryota; Metazoa; Chordata; Mammalia; Perissodactyla; Equidae. The record is from RNAcentral.
CUGACUCCAUUCUCUACCUCCCUUUUCUAACACAGUCAUGAUCUAAGAGAAACAAUCUCUUUUCUGUAGAGCUCUUUAGGCAUGCCUGAUUUGUAUUCUCUGAUUAAAUUGUAGCCACAAAUCUCCACAUGAACUCUGGGCAGAUCAAGCAGUAGCUGAGACACUGUUUGCCAAGAAAACACAAGCUGAAGUUUCAAAAUUCUGGUGCUCUGCUUCCAGUGGUGACACCAACUGGUUAGGUGACCUAAAACAAGUUUUUUGACAUGCUUGUGCCUCAGUUCAUCCAUCUUUUAAGUGGUGGUGGUGGAUUAUAAUACCUGCUUUACCUACUUCACAAGUGGUUGUGAAGUUCAAAUGAGGAAGAGACGUAGAGAAGAAUGCCCAGAACAUGAGUGUACAGCUUGACGGAUUUUCACGAACUGAGCACAUCUAUUUUACUAGCAUCCAGAUCAAGAAAUGGGACACUAACAACAUCGCAGAAACCCCUUUCAUGAUCCCUACCAAUCACUACUGAUCUCCACCCCUGCCAAGUGUAUUCAGCAAAAUGCAGAUAAAGGACCAGAGGGCUGGACUUUCUUUUUGGUUGCCAGACAGUCUUUCUUUGGCCAAGUCCCUGCCUGCUCUGAGACUGGACCAAAUAGUGCCCAGCUUCAACAAGGAUGCAUGUACUCACCACCAACCUCCUUCUCUCCCCACCAGCCGCCACUCCCCUUCCGCCAGCUCUGAUUUCUGCAG